RNAcentral lists this ribosomal RNA (253 nucleotides) under uncultured bacterium. RNAcentral's name for it is "partial 16S ribosomal RNA". It matches the Rfam family "Bacterial small subunit ribosomal RNA", at positions 524 to 776 of the family's 1533-position model. The record is from RNAcentral.
UACGGAGAGUGCAAGCAUUAAUCGGAAUUAUUGGGCGUAAAGGGCGCGUAGGCGGGAUAGUAAGUCAGAUGUGAAAUACUGAAGCUCAACUUCAGUGCUGCAUUUGAAACUGCAAUUCUUGAGGGUUGACGGAGAAAACGGAAUUCCACGUGUAGCGGUGAAAUGCGUAGAUAUGUGGAAGAACACCUGUGGCGAAAGCGGUUUUCUAGUUAACACCUGACGCUGAGGCGCGAGAGCAAGGGGAGCAAACAGG